GCGCUCACUUUGGCGGCAUAUACAAUAAAAUUGGAAAGAUACAGAGAUUAGCAUGACCUCCUGCACAAAGAUGACACACGCAUUCAUGAAACUGUCCAUAAAAAAA
RNAcentral lists this small nuclear RNA (106 nucleotides) under Pongo abelii (Sumatran orangutan). Lineage: Eukaryota; Metazoa; Chordata; Mammalia; Primates; Hominidae. The record is from RNAcentral.